This 440-nucleotide ribosomal RNA is filed under the name uncultured bacterium. Its description in RNAcentral is "partial 16S ribosomal RNA". It matches the Rfam family "Bacterial small subunit ribosomal RNA", at positions 338 to 795 of the family's 1533-position model. The record is from RNAcentral.
CCUACGGGUGGCAGCAGUGGGGAAUAUUGCACAAUGGGGGAAACCCUGAUGCAGCGACGCCGCGUGAGUGAAGAAGUAAUUCGUUAUGUACAGCUCUAUCAGCAGGGAAGAAACAGACGGUACCUGAGUAAGAAGCCCCGGCUAACUACGUGCCAGCAGCCGCGGUAAUACGUAGGGGGCAAGCGUUAUCCGGAUUUACUGGGUGUAAAGGGAGCGUAGACGGCGAAGAAAGUCUGAAGUGAAAGCCCGCGGCUUAACCGCGGAACUGCUUUGGAAACUUUUUUGCUGGAGUACCGGAGAGGUAAGCGGAAUUCCUAGUGUAGCGGUGAAAUGCGUAGAUAUUAGGAGGAACACCAGUGGCGAAGGCGGGUUCCUGGACAUUAACUGACGCUGAGGCACGAAGGCCAGGGGAGCGAAAGGGAUUAGAUACCCGGGUAGUC